CGCGCGAGGCAGCCCACGUGGGCGCUUCCCGGCGCACAUGGCGCUGCCCCUGCGGAGGCUGCUGCAGGCCCGCCGGCCCGCGGGCCGGCCGGGGGGACGGCGCGAGGCCAGCCAGGGCGCCGACCCCGGGGCUGCGGUGCGCGUGCGGUUCGCCCCCAGCCCCACAGGCUUCCUGCACCUGGGCGGCCUCCGCACGGCCUUGUACAACUACAUCUUUGCCAAGAAGCAUGGAGGGAGCUUCAUCCUGCGGCUGGAGGACACAGACCAGACGCGCCUUGUGCCUGGGGCCGCGGAGAACAUUGAGGACAUGCUGGAGUGGGCAGGCGUCCCCCCAGACGAGAGCCCGCGCCGGGGCGGCUCCGCCGGCCCCUACCAGCAGUCUCAGCGGUUGGAGCUGUACGCCCAGGCCGCGGAAGCGCUGCUCAAGACCGGCGCGGCCUACCCCUGCUUCUGCUCGCCCCAGCGGCUGGAGCUCCUGAAGAAGGAGGCGCUGAGGAACCGCCAGACGCCCCGGUACGACAACCGCUGCCGCCACCUGACCCAGGCGCAGGUGGCCCAGAAGCUGGCCCAGGAGCCCCGGCCCGCCGUCCGCUUCCGCCUGGAGGGGGAGGCGCCCGCCUUCCAGGACCUGGUCUACGGCUGGAACCGGCACGAGGUGGCGAGCGUGGAGGGGGACCCGGUCAUCCUCAAGCGCGACGGCUUCCCCACCUACCACCUGGCCUGCGUGGUGGACGACCACCACAUGGGCGUGAGCCACGUGCUGCGGGGCUCCGAGUGGCUGGUGUCCACGGCCAAGCACCUGCUGCUCUACCAGGCCCUGGGCUGGCGGCCGCCGCGCUUCGCCCACCUGCCGCUGCUCCUCAACCGCGACGGCAGCAAGCUGUCCAAGCGCCAGGGAGACAUCUUCCUGGAGCACUUCGCCGCCGCCGGCUUCCUGCCCGAGGCCUUGCUCGACAUUAUCACCAACUGCGGCUCGGGGUUCCCAGAGAACCAGAUGGGCAGGACCUUGCCGGAGCUGAUCGCACAGUUUGACCUCUCCCGGAUCACCUGCCACUCGGCGCUGCUGGACCUAGAGAAGCUUCCAGAAUUCAACAGGCUGCACCUCUGCCGGCUGCUGGGCAGCGAGCCGCAGCGGCACCAGCUGGUCGGGAAGCUGCGGGCACUGGUGGAGGAGGCGUUCGGCAGCCAGCUGGAGGACAGGGCCGUCCUGGAGCCUGCCUACCUGGAGAGGAUUGUCCUGCUGAGAAAGGGUCACAUUGGCCGCCUGCAGGACCUGGUGUCCCCGGCUCACGCCUACCUGUGGACGCGCCCCGACGUGGCCCGGGCGCAGCUGGGGGCCAUCACGGAGGAGGCGGAGGUGAUCGCCAGGCGUGUGCUGGGGUGCAGCCCUAAGGAACCCGCUUCUCUCCCAGGCUGCUGGACGGCCCCGGGCUGAGCCUCACCCAGGACACGCUGAACGGGGAGCUGAGGAAGCUGUCGGCGGGUCUGCAGGGCACCAAGCACAGCCACGUGAUGAAGCUCCUCCGGGUGGCCCUCAGCGGGCAGCUGCAAGGCCCGCCGGUCGCCGAGAUGAUGGUGUCCCUGGGCCCGCAGGAAGUGCGGCAACGGAUUCAGAAGCUGCUGUCCAGCUGAAGGGACGAGGAGCGGCCAGAGCAGGGGGCCGGGGAGCCUGCACGCACGGCGGCUGCCCUUACGGGGAGCAACAGGCAGGAGCCAGGAGUGGACCCAGACUCUCGAGUGGAUCCAGCCUCCACGCCCCUCUCCUGGACCCCAGAGGCUGCCUGGUAGCCGGUACCAUGUCACACAGCAGAGCGGAUUCACAGAGCAUUCCUGGAGGAGUCAUGAGUCUCAGCUGGCUCGGGCUGGCAUUAGAAAACACCGCCGAUGGGGCCGGAGGGACAGCCCAGCAGGCGGGGCAGCACGAGGCCCAGGCUAGGUCCCCUGAGUGCCGCCAGAGGUGGGCAGGAACAAGUAUGUGUGUGUAAAUAUACAUAUAUGUAACUAAA
RNA transcript from Sorex araneus (European shrew), 2006 nucleotides. It is a transcript of the gene named glutamyl-tRNA synthetase 2, mitochondrial, with no coding region annotated. NCBI's taxonomy places the organism in Eukaryota, Metazoa, Chordata, Mammalia, Eulipotyphla, Soricidae. The record is from RefSeq and is a predicted model, not a curated record. The transcript is spliced from 9 exons.